Molecule: ribosomal RNA, 231 nt
Organism: Streptomyces uncialis
Lineage: Bacteria; Bacillati; Actinomycetota; Actinomycetes; Kitasatosporales; Streptomycetaceae
Rfam family: Bacterial large subunit ribosomal RNA
Source: Rfam
GACGGACGAACCUCUGGUGUGCCAGUUGUCCUGCCAAGGGCAUGGCUGGUUGGCUACGUUCGGGAGGGAUAACCGCUGAAAGCAUCUAAGCGGGAAGCCUGCUUCGAGAUGAGGACUCCCACCCACUUGAUGGGGUAAGGCUCCCAGUAGACGACUGGGUUGAUAGGCCAGAUAUGGAAGCCGGGUGACCGGUGGAGUUGACUGGUACUAAUAGGCCGAGGGCUUGUCCUC